GUUUUGGUGACCGAGAGAAUAAGGUGAAAGAUUUUUAAUCUUUUUACAGGGACUAAUCCCCUCCAAAGCA
Molecule: transfer RNA, 70 nt
Filed under: Goniobranchus leopardus
Lineage: Eukaryota; Metazoa; Mollusca; Gastropoda; Nudibranchia; Chromodorididae
Description: tRNA-Lys
Rfam family: tRNA
About the family: Transfer RNA (tRNA) molecules are approximately 80 nucleotides in length. Their secondary structure includes four short double-helical elements and three loops (D, anti-codon, and T loops).
Source: RNAcentral